This 72-nucleotide transfer RNA is filed under the name Chaetoceros tenuissimus. RNAcentral's name for it is "tRNA-Gln". Lineage: Eukaryota; Bacillariophyta; Thalassiosirophyceae; Chaetocerotales; Chaetocerotaceae. The record is from RNAcentral.
UUCUCGUACGAGGGUUCGAACCUCGGAUGCUUGAUUCAAAGUCAAGAGUGUUAACCACUACACUAUACGAGA